Molecule: ribosomal RNA, 440 nt
Filed under: uncultured bacterium
Lineage: Bacteria
Description: partial 16S ribosomal RNA
Rfam family: Bacterial small subunit ribosomal RNA
Source: RNAcentral
CUACGGGUUGCACCAGUGAGGAAUAUUGCACAAUGGAGGAAACUCUGAUGCAGCAACGCCGCGUGGAGGAUGACGCAUUUCGGUGUGUAAACUCCUUUUAUAUGUCAAGAAAAUGACGGUAGCAUAUGAAUAAGCACCGGCUAACUCCGUGCGCAGCAGCCGCGGUAAUACGGAGGGUGCGAGCGUUACUCGGAAUCACUGGGCGUAAAGGACGCGUAGGCGGGAUAUCAAGUCAGGUGUGAAAUCCUACAGCUUAACUGUAGAACUGCACUUGAAACUGGUAACCUAGAGUAUGGGAGGGGGAGAUGGAAUUAGUGGUGUAGGGGUAAAAUCCGUAGAUAUCACUAGGAAUACCUAAAGCGAAGGCGAUCUCCUGGAACAUAACUGACGCUAAGGCGUGAAAGCGUGGGGAGCAAACAGGAUUAGAUACCCUAGUAGUC